Molecule: ribosomal RNA, 74 nt
Filed under: Syngonanthus helminthorrhizus
Lineage: Eukaryota; Viridiplantae; Streptophyta; Magnoliopsida; Poales; Eriocaulaceae
Description: partial 18S ribosomal RNA
Rfam family: Eukaryotic small subunit ribosomal RNA
Source: RNAcentral
CUUAUCAUUUUAGAGGAAGGAGAAGUCGUAACAAGGGUUUCCGUAGGUGAACCCGCGGAAGGAUCAUUGUCGAA